GUGUUCUUUUAAGAAAUUCGCUGGACUAAACCGAUUUAAAAUUGAGAUGACGGUUUUGUUUUUUUUGACCGCUGUAGCGAGAUGGUCGAAAAUUAUCUGUUCCCAACCCAAACCUGACUCACACUGUUAGAUCACUGAAUGUUUGGUGCCACAAAUUUCUAAAGUGACCUGUAGACAAUCACAUUAUUUGUUAAAUUUUUGCUUGACAAACGUGACUGUCAAAUUUUUUGAUAGUGGAGAAGCUUGUUUGACGUGAUUAUCAAACUCGAGAAAUUCGUUGGUACAAACCGGUUUUAAUUGUCUGUACAAUCUCACAUGCAUAUGGUGCAAACUAUUUACAUCGGUUUCAUCCCCUCGAAAUGAUAAAUAAUAAUAACAAAUAAUAUCUAUUUAAAUAAUUGAUUAAUUAAAUCGAUAUAUUUUGGAUAGU
Cinara cedri is the source of this 430-nucleotide non-coding RNA. The record is from the annotation of a GenBank genome assembly. NCBI's taxonomy places the organism in Eukaryota, Metazoa, Arthropoda, Insecta, Hemiptera, Aphididae.